Molecule: ribosomal RNA, 660 nt
Filed under: uncultured bacterium
Lineage: Bacteria
Description: bacterial SSU rRNA
Rfam family: Bacterial small subunit ribosomal RNA
Source: RNAcentral
AGUGGCGGACGGGUGAGUAACGCGUGAGAAUCUGCCUUGGGGUCGGGGACAACCACUGGAAACGGUGGCUAAUACCGGAUAAGCCGAUUGGUUAAAGAUUUAUUGCCCGAAGAGGAGCUCGCGUCUGAUUAGCUAGUUGGUGAGGUAAGAGCUCACCAAGGCAGCGAUCAGUAGCUGGUCUGAGAGGACGAUCAGCCACACUGGGACUGAGACACGGCCCAGACUCCUACGGGAGGCAGCAGUGGGGAAUUUUCCGCAAUGGGCGAAAGCCUGACGGAGCAAGACCGCGUGAGGGAGGAAGGCUCUUGGGUUGUAAACCUCUUUUCUCAGGGAAGAAGCUCUGACGGUACCUGAGGAAUCAGCCUCGGCUAACUCCGUGCCAGCAGCCGCGGUAAUACGGAGGAGGCAAGCGUUAUCCGGAAUUAUUGGGCGUAAAGCGUCCGCAGGUGGCGAUUCAAGUCUGCUGUCAAAGCACGGGGCUUAACUCCGUAAAGGCAGUGGAAACUGAAUAGCUAGAGUGCCGUAGGGGUAGAGGGAAUUCCCGGUGUAGCGGUGAAAUGCGUAGAGAUCGGGAAGAACAUCGGUGGCGAAAGCGCUCUACUGGACGGCAACUGACACUCAGGGACGAAAGCUAGGGGAGCGAAUGGGAUUAGAUACCCC